Cyanistes caeruleus (blue tit) is the source of this 1107-nucleotide long non-coding RNA. RefSeq lists it as uncharacterized. The record is from RefSeq and is a predicted model, not a curated record. NCBI's taxonomy places the organism in Eukaryota, Metazoa, Chordata, Aves, Passeriformes, Paridae.
CCUCUGGAGGACACCCUGAGAGGCUGGGCUCGCCUUUCUCUCCCCAGCUAUCUGUGCUCACAGCUUCUCAUCCUGUUAUCAAUGACUAGGAGCACCUUGCAGGCUGCCCUGUCUGGAAACACCUUUCAGUGCCCCACUGUGAACGAAAGGUGGGCAAACUGCGCCAGCCCGAGGCCCUUUCACCAUGGCCCCUGCAGGCCGUCUCCUUUGGUCUGUUGCCCACCGAGCUCCAAGGCCCAGGCUCUGGUGGCACCGUGUGAGUCCCACAUCUGCGCCAGCUGCUCUUAGCAAAACAGGCAGAAACCUCACCUGGGUAUUCCCGACGUGGUCUCCCCAAAUGCCUGGCAAACAAAGCAAAGAAGUGGAGCAGAGCUGGCUCCUGUGAAGCAGAGCUAGCUCCUGGGCAAUCACCGCUGCCAUUUUCAGGGGCCUCUCUCCAGGGACGCAGACUUCCAGCCUUCAUGAGAGUUGUGCCACGGAUCAACAGGCACAGAGAUACAAGUAAGAGGAAGAUCUGAGGAGAGCGGAGAGCCAAGGCUCUCCUGCCCAGUCCUGACACAAUGAACCCAGGUAACAAUAGGCGCAAGUCAAACCAAGAAAAUGGGUCAUUUUCUGGUUAUCCCCAGUCUACAGAUGGGAAAAUGCAGCACAGAUACUGUGAAGUGGGGAUGCACUGGACUGAUGGUCUGAUGACAGUGUGAAGAGAGUGGAGUUCCCUUAUAAAGUAAUUUCUGUAGUCCAUGCAUCCUAUGAAGUGGGAAGAAACAUCAACUCAGUAUAAACUUCUUCAAGCAAGAAAAAUAGCACUGUAGUAAGAGCUCUUUGCCAUUCAAACAUUUUUUUUUUUUUUUUAUUUUACUUUGUCUCCAUUCCUUUCUGCACAUUAUUUGUACCUGCAUUGCUACUCAUAUAUCAUUCUUCUAAAUAUCCUCUUGGGGAAUAGACAUGUACUUUCUCUGUUUCUUUUUAUGUUACCAAUGUUUAGAAGUUAGAAUGUGCUCUUUUACUUAAAAAAAAUAUUGUCAUAGGGUUGCUUCUACGCUAAGGUUGUUGCUAUCCUAAAAUGUGCUUUAUUUCAAUAAAAAUUGUCUGUGAAGAUGGAUGCAA